GCGUAACGCGUAUACAACCUGCCUUUAACAAAGGGAUAGCCCAUGGAAACGUGGAUUAAUACCUUAUAAUAUGUAGACAUGGCAUCAUGAUUACAUCAAAGAUUUAUCGGUUAAAGAGGGGUAUGCGUGACAUUAGCUAGUUGGUGAGGUAACGGCCCACCAAGGCUACGAUGUCUAGGGGUUCUGAGAGGAUGAUCCCCCACACUGGUACUGAGACACGGACCAG
RNAcentral lists this ribosomal RNA (226 nucleotides) under uncultured bacterium. Its description in RNAcentral is "partial 16S ribosomal RNA". It matches the Rfam family "Bacterial small subunit ribosomal RNA", at positions 108 to 334 of the family's 1533-position model. The record is from RNAcentral.